GACGAACGCUGGCGGCGUGCCUAAUACAUGCAAGUAGAACGCUGAAGGAGGAGCUUGCUUCUCCGGAUGAGUUGCGAACGGGUGAGUAACGCGUAGGUAACCUGCCUGGUAGCGGGGGAUAACUAUUGGAAACGAUAGCUAAUACCGCAUAAGAGUAGAUGUCGCAUGACAUUUGCUUAAAAGGUGCAACUGCACCACUACCAGAUGGACCUGCGUUGUAUUAGCUAGUUGGUGAGGUAACGGCUCACCAAGGCAACGAUACAUAGCCGACCUGAGAGGGUGAUCGGCCACACUGGGACUGAGACACGGCCCAGACUCCUACGGGAGGCAGCAGUAGGGAAUCUUCGGCAAUGGACGGAAGUCUGACCGAGCAACGCCGCGUGAGUGAAGAAGGUUUUCGGAUCGUAAAGCUCGGUUGUAAGAGAAGAACGAGUGUGAGAGUGGAAAGUUCACAAUGUGACGGUAUCUUACCAGAAAGGGACGGCUAACUACGUG
This 495-nucleotide ribosomal RNA is filed under the name uncultured bacterium. RNAcentral's name for it is "partial 16S ribosomal RNA". It matches the Rfam family "Bacterial small subunit ribosomal RNA", at positions 28 to 507 of the family's 1533-position model. The record is from RNAcentral.